RNAcentral lists this ribosomal RNA (228 nucleotides) under uncultured bacterium. Its description in RNAcentral is "partial 16S ribosomal RNA". It matches the Rfam family "Bacterial small subunit ribosomal RNA", at positions 568 to 795 of the family's 1533-position model. The record is from RNAcentral.
CGUGUAGGCGGUUUUUUAAGUCUGAUGUGAAAGCCCCGGGCUUAACCUGGGAAGUGCAUUGGAAACUGGAAGACUUGAGUACGGGAGAGGAAAGCGGAAUUUCGAGUGUAGGGGUGAAAUCCGUAGAUAUUCGAAGGAACACCAGUGGCGAAGGCGGCUUUCUGGACCGAUACUGACGCUGAGACGCGAGAGCGUGGGGAGCAAACAGGAUUAGAUACCCUGGUAGUC